This is a long non-coding RNA of Pecten maximus, 1029 nucleotides long. RefSeq lists it as uncharacterized. The transcript is spliced from 4 exons. The record is from RefSeq and is a predicted model, not a curated record. Lineage: Eukaryota; Metazoa; Mollusca; Bivalvia; Pectinida; Pectinidae.
UUGAUAAGGUUGUAUCUAACUGUAACUAUGGUAAUUUAUAAGUGUUACCAGACAUUGAUAAGGUUGUAUCUAACUGUAACUAUGGUAAUUUAUAAGUGUUACCAGACAUUGAUAAGGUUGUAUCUACCAGACAUUGACAAGGUUGUAUCUACCAGACAUUGAUAAGGUUGUAUCUAACUGUAACUAUGGUAGUUUAUAAGUGUUACCAGACAUUGAUAAGGUUGUAUCUAACUGUAACUAUGGUAAUUUAUAAGUGUUACCAGACAUUGAUAAGGUUGUAUCUACCAGACAUUGAUAAGGUUGUAUCUAACUGUAACUGUGAUAGUUUAUAAACGUUACCAGACAUUAAUAAGGUUGUAUCUAACUGUAACUAUGGUAGUUUAUAAGUGUUACCAGACAUUGAUAAGGUUGUAUCUACCAGACAUUGAUAAGGUUGUAUCUACCAGACAUUGACAAGGUUGUAUCUAACUGUAACUAUGGUAAUUUAUAAAUGUUACCAGACAUUGAUAAGGUUGUAUCUACCAGACAUUGAUAAGGUUGUAUCUACCAGACAUUGACAAGGUUGUAUCUACCAGACAUUGAUAAGGUUGUAUUUACCAGACAUUGAUAAGGUUGUAUCUAACUGUAAUUGUGGUAAUUUAUAAGUGUUACCAGACAUUGACAAGGUUGUAUCUGACUGUAACUAUGGUAAUUUAUAAGUGUUACCAGACAUUGAUAAGGUUGUAUCUACCAGACAUUGACAAGGUUGUAUCUACCAGACAUUGAUAAGGUUGUAUCUACCAGACAUUGAUAAGGUUGUAUCUAACUGUAACUAUGGUAAUUUAUAAGUGUUACCAGACAUUGAUUAGGUUUAUCUAACUGUAACUAUGGUAAUUUAUAAGUGUUACCAGACAUUGAUAAGGUUGUAUCUACCAGACAUUGAUAAGGUUGUAUCUACCAGACAUUGACAAGGUUGUAUCUACCAGACAUUGAUAAGGUUGUAUCUACCAGACAUUGAUAAGGUUGUAUCUACCAGACAUUGAUAAGGUU